ACGAGCGGCGGACGGGUGAGUAACACGUGGGCAACCUACCUGUAAGACUGGGAUAACUCCGGGAAACCGGGGCUAAUACCGGAUGAUACAUGUCGUCGCAUGACGAGAUGUUAAAAAGGCGGCAUAUGCUGUCACUUACAGAUGGGCCCGCGGCGCAUAGCUAGUUGGUGAGAUAAAAGCUCACCAAGGCGACAUGCGUAGCCACCUGAGAGGGUGAUCGGCCACACUGGGACUGAGACACGGCCCAGACUCCUACGGGAGGCAGCAGUAGGGAAUCUUCCGCAAUGGACGAAAGUCUGACGGAGCAACGCCGCGUGAGUGAUGAAGGUUUUCGGAUCGUAAAACUCUGUUGUUAGGGAAGAACAAGUGCCAUUCGAAUAGGUUGGCACCUUGACGGUACCUAACCAGAAAGCCCCGGCUAACUACGUGCCAGCAGCCGCGGUAAUACGUAGGGGGCAAGCGUUGUCCGGAAUUAUUGGGCGUAAAGCGCGCGCAGGCGGUCCUUUAAGUCUGAUGUGAAAGCCCACGGCUUAACCGUGGAGGGCCAUUGGAAACUGGGGGACUUGAGUACAGAAGAGGAGAGUGGAAUUCCACGUGUAGCGGUGAAAUGCGUAGAGAUGUGGAGGAACACCAGUGGCGAAGGCGACUCUCUGGUCUGUAACUGACGCUGAGGUGCGAAAGCGUGGGUAGCGAACAGGAUUAGAUACCCUGGUAGUCCACGCCGUAACGAUGAGUGCUAGGUGUUAGGGGGGUUUCCGCCCCUUAGUGCUGAAGUUAACGCAUUAAGCACUCCGCCUGGGGAGUACCGGCCGCAAGGCUGAAACUCACAAGAAUUGACUGGGGACCCGCACAAGCGGUGG
Molecule: ribosomal RNA, 860 nt
Filed under: Virgibacillus dokdonensis
Lineage: Bacteria; Bacillati; Bacillota; Bacilli; Caryophanales; Bacillaceae
Description: bacterial SSU rRNA
Rfam family: Bacterial small subunit ribosomal RNA
Source: RNAcentral